This 1148-nucleotide long non-coding RNA is filed under the name Anser brachyrhynchus (Pink-footed goose). RNAcentral's name for it is "lncRNA (ENSABRG00000006723.1)". The record is from RNAcentral. Lineage: Eukaryota; Metazoa; Chordata; Aves; Anseriformes; Anatidae.
GUAAACUGUAUAAGGGAAAAUCAGUGUGAAAUCCUCACCAGGCAUUAGUAAAAAAUUGCACUGGGAGAUGAGGAAUAUUCUGAAAUAGUGUUGGGUGAGUGGUACUCCAGGUAAGCAUAUGUUGGCAUACUCUUCAGUUGUAAAUUACGGGCAGAAAUGAAUGGUGCCAAACUGGUCUAAGUAAAUGAUCAGAGUGCAUUAUUUCCACAAAAAGGUAGGUAUAGGCAAGAAUCAAAUUUCUCAUCAUGGGUAUGAGAGCACUACUCUGGGAAAUAAGUACAUUAGGGCACACAGCUUUCUUAGCAUCAGCUAUUAUAUCCUUUUAAGCCAUGUUUGAGAGUACAUUUCCUUCUUGAAAACUGGGAAUUUGUUCUAUUUUUAUAGAAAUGAGCUUGUUGCAAAUUGGCAUACUCUGUUGUGUGCAUGGCUUUCUAUGCCACAGAGGGACCGCAGGGCAAUUAUCAGAAGCAUCCACUGAAGGACUUGAGUAAUUUGCCAAAUGUUAUUUUGUUUGCAGAUAAAGUAAAUAGUUUUAGUACUGAAGUGCAUUUAAGUACUCUAACUUUUUGUUUAGUUUAAAUUUUGUUUCUCUUACCCCUUUAAAAAAGCAUUCUUCUGUCUACUGACUUUUCUAUUUUUAUGUUCUCGAGCACAGUUAUGUGACUGCCUGUAAUGCCUCCUAUGAAUCUCAGCAUAGGGGAGUUUAUCCCAAGAUGGAGCUGUGAAUGGAUGUUGAUUUAAAGGAGGUCAGUUAAACUUCAUUAAAUUAAGCUUUUUUUAAAAAAAGAUCAUCUGUGAGGAGACAGAAUGAUGUUGUUGAUAGCUGUGGUGCUCUCCUGAAAUACAAACCAAUGCCUGAUAGGAAUGGUUUCACAAAGGCUUGACUCACACCUGUACUGGAUUGUCUCUUGAUUCUGCUCUUCUGAUUUUUUUUAAAUGGCUCAGGGAUCUGUUUCAACAACAGUAAGCAAUGUCAUGUUAUGUGUUUUAAUGCAAAUCUUCAACACAUACAAGCUGUUCCUUGGACAACAGAGCUAGUAAAGCAUUGUUUACUUACGUCCAAUGUUUCCUGGAUGCAGAGCAGUCUUAAACCCAAAUGGUUGGUCAGAUGUAUGCUGCUAAGCUAUUGGGUGCUGGUGGCUGUGUGA